AGUGAACGCUGGCGGUAGGCCUAACACAUGCAAGUCGAGCGGCAGCACAGUAAGAGCUUGCUCUUACGGGUGGCGAGUGGCGGACGGGUGAGGAAUACAUCGGAAUCUACUUUUUCGUGGGGGAUAACGUAGGGAAACUUACGCUAAUACCGCAUACGACCUACGGGUGAAAGCAGGGGAUCUUCGGACCUUGCGCGAUUGAAUGAGCCGAUGUCGGAUUAGCUAGUUGGCGGGGUAAAGGCCCACCAAGGCGACGAUCCGUAGCUGGUCUGAGAGGAUGAUCAGCCACACUGGAACUGAGACACGGUCCAGACUCCUACGGGAGGCAGCAGUGGGGAAUAUUAGACAAUGGGCGCAAGCCUGAUCCAGCCAUACCGCGUAGGUGAAGAAGGCCUUCGGGUUGUAAAGCCCUUUUGUUGGGAAAGAAAAGCAGCAGGUUAAUACCCCGCUGUUCUGACGGUACCCAAAGAAUAAGCACCGGCUAACUUCGUG
RNAcentral lists this ribosomal RNA (492 nucleotides) under uncultured bacterium. RNAcentral describes it as "partial 16S ribosomal RNA". It matches the Rfam family "Bacterial small subunit ribosomal RNA", at positions 29 to 507 of the family's 1533-position model. The record is from RNAcentral.